UCUGCUCACGACGCAUUUGUCUUCAAUACAAGGUGGCAUACUUUUCUUGUUAUUACAUUACAUUACACUAACUUUAAUAUGCCUAUAUCUACUGUAUCUAGCUAUAUAGCCACUAAUCUAGUUCUUCUUUACUACUGCAGCGACCUGAACACUUAUCUGGAGGAGAGGAAUGUAAGUGGGUGGCUGCUUGGGGACUCUGGUUAUCCACUGAAGGCCUAUCUCAUGACCCCUGUGGUGGAUGAGCAGACUGACGCAGACAUGCGAUACAAUCGGGCCCAUAAAAAAUGUAGGGCGAGAAUAGAGCGGCUGUUUGGUGUUUGGAAAAGCAGAUGGAGGUGUCAUGAUGUGAGUGGAGGCUACCUACAAUACACGCCUGAGAAGGUGGUCCUAUUCAUUAAGGCCACAGCUGUACUGCACAACAUCUGUAGGCUGGCAAACGUACCAGAUCCUGAAGUAGACAUUAUUCAACAAGAGCACCCAGAAGAGGUGGAGGAGGCUCAUGCCAAUGGGCUGACUGUAAGGGCUCAGCUCAUAAGAGACUUUUUUACAAGGCCAUAAAUCAUUUGAAAAUAAAAUAAGAACUUAAAAAAAGUAAAUAAAAACACAUUCCAUAUUGGUAAAAUUAAUGCAUGUGAACUUAUUUAUUAUUUACAUUUCAAUUUCAUUUUCAAUUUCUUUUGAGAAUUUUCUCCUCUCCCAUUCAAAUUUUUCUCUUUCCAGAGCCAGUCGUUCCUUCUGUAACUCUAAAUGCUGACGGUACAGCUCCAACUUCUCCCUCUCUAUCUCAAUUAAGGCUUGAGUGUCCGUUUGCUGCCGUUUCUUUU
Long non-coding RNA from Engraulis encrasicolus (European anchovy), 824 nucleotides. RefSeq lists it as uncharacterized. The transcript has 3 exons. The record is from RefSeq and is a predicted model, not a curated record. NCBI's taxonomy places the organism in Eukaryota, Metazoa, Chordata, Actinopteri, Clupeiformes, Engraulidae.